ACACUGGCCUCCUCGAGCGCGCCGCCCGCGCCCAGCGCCCCACGCCCCGCGCCCCGGGCCGUGCAGCCAGCCCUUACCUUGCAGCGCCCGGCUGUCUCCCGAUCGCUAAAGCUACUUAUCCCGGGAAAGCUCGCGCGGGACCCGGGAACGAACCCACAGACAAAAAGUGAAACUUCGGCAGGGCUGGAGCGGCUGCUGGUUGGUGCCUUUCCCCCUCCUUCCUCCCCACCGUCCCCACCCCCUCCCCUUGGUCUCCCGUGCGGUGCCCUGAGCGCUGGAGGCUGACGUCAGGGGCCUGAAUUCCUGACUUUGCCUGCACGCAUUUGUCCAUGUAAGGUAUGGGAAGGCGUGUGCCCGCGAAGCCGCCGCGCAGAGCUCGCCUGGCGGGGGAGGGGAAACCCGCAGCCGGCAGUGGCUUUGCCAAAAGGUGGGCGCACUGAGGGCAUUGCAUUUCCUGGGAGGAAGAGGAGGAGACGCGGGAAUGCAGGGAGCUUGCAAAGGAGGAAGAGAAAGAGGGAGAUGUGGAGACUUUGCCCCUGCUAGAGGAAGAGGAAGGAGACGUAGGAGGAAGCGGCCGCGUCAGGGGGCUCCUGGAAAAUGGAAAAGCCUGCGUCUACUAUUAAGGCGUCAAAUUAGGGCACUGAGCUUGAGUGGAAGAGAUCCAGCCAUGAAAUCCCCUUCCAAGAUUUUCCUCGUGAGCCCCGCCCUGGAUUCCCAGCAAGACUCAAAACUUACAAGGUGUCAGAGCUGGCAAAGACCAACUUCCAACCCGUCCGCUUGGCACGUGAGGAAACUGAAGCUCUCGGAAGAGAAAUGACUUGUACAGGGUCGUCACUCAGCAGAUCGAGGAGCGGGCCCAGGCGCUCUGCCUCCCACUUGGGUUCCCGCCUCCAGGAAGGGCCCUGGCUCCCUUUUAGCCCUGAGCCUUGAAGCAGGUUAGAUGCCCGCGAGCUGUGCGGACCACCCAGUGAUUUCUACUGCUCUUGGCCCAGAGCCAGUUCCUGGAAGGUCCUGGUUGACAGCGAGCCCUGAAUAUCAAUGACAAUCAGUUGCUUCAGGGCAACUUCCUCUGUCCUGUGCUCAAAUAAAUGAAUCCCUGGAGUUUAACGUUUACUUCUGAGCCCCGCCCAGAAAGCUUGCUCUGUGCUUAUAGCUUCAAAAAAGUCUGCGAACGAGAUGAACUGGUUUGAAUACAGACAAGCCUGUCAUUGGAAGUUUUGAGUUGGAUUUUUCUUUCCCCUCUGACAUCUGUAAGGGUGAACGACGAUGAGAACCACCACUUAACUGUGUUAGGGGAUUAUGACGCGCAGCAGCCAUGGCCAGGAAAGCAUUCCAUACCCUGAGACUUCCUUUCCUUGCACUUCUCUCCUAUUAAUAUCUAAAGUAAUCCCUCACGUUAGCACAUAAUGAAAGCAGUCUCUCACCCGGCUAUUGCAUCUUCAGGUGAGUUAGAUAGGACAGAGCGUAGUCCCCCCUUUACACCUCAGACAAAAACUUAAGAAACGUUACUCGCCCAACACAAAACAACUGACUGACCAAGCACCUGUCUUCCCCUCCUCCCAUCCAGGUCUCCUGACUAAUCCCUUCAUCUUUCCAUACCUGGCCCUGACCUCUAGCAGGACCUAAUUCCAUUCAUAACUGUUGAGAGUACACCAUGAGCUACUGAUUCAUAAAAACUCCAAAAAGUGG
RNAcentral lists this long non-coding RNA (1689 nucleotides) under Homo sapiens (human). Its description in RNAcentral is "HSALNT0317006". Lineage: Eukaryota; Metazoa; Chordata; Mammalia; Primates; Hominidae. The record is from RNAcentral.